GAUGAACGCUGGCGGCGUGCCUAAUACAUGCAAGUCGAGCGAACAGAUGAGGAGCUUGCUCCUCUGACGUUAGCGGCGGACGGGUGAGUAACACGUGGAUAACCUACCUAUAAGACUGGGAUAACUUCGGGAAACCGGAGCUCAUACCGGAUAAUAUAUUGAACCGCAUGGUUCAAUAGUGAAAGACGGUUUUGCUGUCACUUAUAGAUGGAUCCGCGCCGCAUUAGCUAGUUGGUAAGGUAACGGCUUACCAAGGCAACGAUGCGUAGCCGACCUGAGAGGGUGAUCGGCCACACUGGAACUGAGACACGGUCCAGACUCCUACGGGAGGCAGCAGUAGGGAAUCUUCCGCAAUGGGCGAAAGCCUGACGGAGCAACGCCGCGUGAGUGAUGAAGGUCUUCGGAUCGUAAAACUCUGUUAUUAGGGAAGAACAAAUGUGUAAGUAGCUAUGCACGUCUUGACGGUACCUAAUCAGAAAGCCACGGCUAACUACGUG
RNAcentral lists this ribosomal RNA (497 nucleotides) under uncultured bacterium. RNAcentral describes it as "partial 16S ribosomal RNA". It matches the Rfam family "Bacterial small subunit ribosomal RNA", at positions 28 to 507 of the family's 1533-position model. The record is from RNAcentral.